AGUGAACGCUGGCGGUAGGCCUAACACAUGCAAGUCGAACGGCAGCACAGGAGAGCUUGCUCUCUGGGUGGCGAGUGGCGGACGGGUGAGGAAUACAUCGGAAUCUACUCUGUCGUGGGGGAUAACGUAGGGAAACUUACGCUAAUACCGCAUACGACCUACGGGUUAAAGCAGGGGACCUUCGGGCCUUGCGCGAUUGAAUGUGCCGAUGUCGGAUUAGCUAGGUGGCGGGGUAAAGGCCCACCAAGGCGACGAUCCGUAGCUGGUCUGAGAGGUUGAUCAGCCACACUGGAACUGAGACACGGUCCAGACUCCUACGGUAGGCAGCAGUGGGGAAUAUUGGACAAUGUGCGCAAGCCUGAUCCAGCCAUACCGCAUGGGUGAAGAUGGCCUUCGGGUUGUAAAGCCCUUUUGUUGGGAAAGAAAUCCAGCUGGUUAAUACCCGGUUGGGAUGACGGUACCCAAAGAAUAAGCACCGGCUAACUUCGUGCCAGCCGCCGCAGUAA
Molecule: ribosomal RNA, 506 nt
Filed under: uncultured bacterium
Lineage: Bacteria
Description: partial 16S ribosomal RNA
Rfam family: Bacterial small subunit ribosomal RNA
Source: RNAcentral